GCAUAUGCCCCAUGGCAGCUUCUCAUCAGAGGAGGUAUUAUUCCCCAUUCUCUGGGAGGCAGUGAGGAGCCCAGACUGCAUGACUGAUGUAGUCAUCAGGAAGUCUGGCCAGGGCCUCAACUCAAACAUAACUCAAGACAUACCUCAAAGAGCUCCACACUUUCCAUCUCCCCACCCAAUCGAGUGCCAACAUAAGGAAUGACCUAUUUUACAUGCUAAGCAGGAAGACAGCAGCUGUCAAACACAAAGCAAGAGUUAUUUUCUUUCUUGCUACAGCCCUAAAGGUGGUCAUAGUAUUCUAUGGAAAGUAUCAAGAAGUAUCUGUGGAAUGGUGUUAAUGCUGUAGUUUAAAUGAUAGAGCGUUGGUCAAAUAGGCAUGAAGCCCUGGGUUUAAUCUCCAGUACAAUAUAAAGCAGGCAUGGUGCUGUACAUCUGUCUUCAAUUAUUCAGGAAAUAGAGGCAGAAGAAUCCAAGUUCAAGGCCAUCCUCCCAUACAUUGUGAGUCACUGGCUGGAAAUAACAAAACAAAAAUUUUUAAAAGAAAGGAAGCAUUUGUAAAGUGCAUUCUGCAGGCAUAUGGCAGCUACAAAACACUAAUGCUCAGGACUCCUAGUUUUUCAUAUCAAUAGGUAAAAUGGGUGUGAAAACAGAAGUCAUGAAUCAAACUACCGGGGCUGGAAGACAUUUCCACUACUGAGUAGUUAUCUGAAAUCUCCCACUAGGGCUGGGUGUGGUGAUGGAGGCUAUCACGGGCUACAGUAAGUUCAAAACUAGGCAGGGAUACAUAGAAAGGCUCUAUUGCAACAAGAAAAGGAAAAGAAGAAAAUUGAGGAAGGCAGGUGGGAAGGGGGAAGGGAAUGAAGGAAAGAAGAGAAGGGGAGGAAUAAUAGGGGAAGAAUGUUUUAAAAAUAAACAAGGGAUGGGGAUUGUUAGAAAUAACUUUCAAGGAAAGAAACCACCAUUCCAACUGAAGUGUCUGGAAAAGGCAAACUUUACUCAUCAACAAGAGUGUGUGCUUAGAAGAGUAAAAAUAACGAGACAGGAAGUGCAUUUGGUUUCUAUUCUAACUCAAGUGGUGGCUCUGUCUUUUCCCCAUUGGCUGAGGUCCAAUCUCACAAUCUUAUUCAAUUGUCUAGUUUGAAAAGAUUUGUUGUGCAGGAAAUGACAGAGGAAGGGGGAUGGAGUCCCUGCCCCAAGGAGAAAAGGAUCACUGCUCUGAACCAUCAAACUCCUAGAAUAGAGCAGUUGGCCUUUGUGUAAAUGACAAUUUUUAAUGGGUGGGGAGAAUUAAAGCCUUGCAUAAAAGUCUUUCAAAGUGGGGGAGAUAAAAUAGUACUUGAUAGACAAGACUCAUAUUUGAUAUUUCUUAUAAGGAAUGAAAAAGAUAACGAGAAUUAGGAAAGGCCUCUUGGUACCGUGCAUUCUAGCCCACACUUUGAUUUUAGACUUUAAGCCUCUGCAACAUUAAGAACAUAAAAUUCCAGUUCUUUGUAAUAUGUUACAGCAGUUUCAGCACAAUAAUGAGCUUUUAUCACAAGAUAUUGGGAAGAUAAUAUUAGCUGGCUUCUGUCUAGUUGAGCAGACCUUAGAGCAGUACCCUCACGUCAACUCUGGCUCCUAUAGGAAAAGGACCUUGCUUGAGUACAUCGACGGUCUCACUGUUAGAGCUCUUUCUAUGGAGAAAUCAUGGUGCCAGUGAAAAGAGUGUGAGUGUCUGCUUAAAAAGUCAGUCUUCAUCCUUGUCAUCAUCAUCUUCUUCUCCUCUUCCUCCUUCUUAUCUUUUAGUUUUCUUCCUUUUCUUCCUCCUCUUCCCCUUCAUCUUCCUCUUUUUCUUGUGUGUGUGUGUGUGUGUGUGUGUGUGUGUGUGUGUUUAGUGCCCAAGGAGGACAGAAGAUGACAUCAUAUCCCAUGGAAUUGGACAUGCAGUAAGUUGUGUGCCACCCAGCAUGGGUGCUGGGAACAGACAUGAGAACUUCUAGAAAGGUAUCAAGCACUCAUAACUGCUGAACCAUCUCUCUAGAUACAAGAUGUUUUCUAGAUCUCAGGAAAUACUUGGAGAAAGCCAGUCAUGGUGGCAUAAGCUGUAAUCUUUUUUUUUCUUUUUCUGAGCCUUUGUAUAAAGCCCCUUUAAUAAAAAUCAAACAUACAGUCAAUAUAAUCUGUUGAUUUGAUUUUGGGUAAAUAGUUCUUCUAACAUAUACAAAAUACAUGAUCUGGUAGAGUUUAUUCAGAACCUCUGCGCCAUAAUAACCUACCUGUGCAUUAACAUGAUAGUAAGCCAAAGGCUGUUCUAGAUAAGCUAUAAUCUUAGCCUUUUGGAUAUAAAGGCAGGGAUCGGGAGUCUGAGGACACCCUCCUUGUCUCUACAACAAGUUCAAGGCUAGCUUGGAAUAUAUGAAAUCCUAUCAAAAUAAAAUAAAAUAAAAUAAAGAAAAACAAAUAGUAAGUGAGAAAGAGGUUCUCUCACCAUGCUGGCUUCCCUAACACUUGUAUUAUUAUUACUUUUCUUUUGGAUCCCAAGGGCUUGUUGUUGAAAUAUACAUGAUAAACUGUCAUUUUAAAGAAAUGAUAGCCAAGCCAGACAUGGUGGUGUAUGCCCCUAAUCCCAUAACAUGGGAGGCAGAGGAAAACAGAUCUCUGAAUGUGAACCUAGACUAUUCUACAUAUUGAGCACCAAGCCAGCCAGAACUACAUAUAGUGAGACACUGUCUC
This 2712-nucleotide long non-coding RNA is filed under the name Mus musculus (house mouse). Its description in RNAcentral is "long non-coding RNA chrX:77468314-77471026". The record is from RNAcentral. Lineage: Eukaryota; Metazoa; Chordata; Mammalia; Rodentia; Muridae.